AUUGAACGCUGGCGGCAGGCCUAACACAUGCAAGUCGAACGAGUGGCGGACGGGUGAGUAAUGUCUGGGAAACUGCCUGAUGGAGGGGGAUAACUACUGGAAACGGUAGCUAAUACCGCAUACCAUCAGAUGUGACAAGUUGGGAUGAGCUAUUGGGUGGGGUCACGGCUCACAAAGGCUACGAUCACUAGCUGGUCUGAGAGGAUGACCAGCCACACGGGAACUGAGACACGGUCCAGACUCCUACGGGAGGCAGCAGGGGGGAAUAUUGCACAAUGGGCGCAAGCCUGAUGCAGCCAUGCCGCGUGUAUGAAGAAGGCCUUCGGGUUGUAAAGUACUUUCAGCGGGGAGGCGUUACCCGCAGAAGAAGCACCGGCUAACUCCGUGUCAGCAGCCGCGGUAAUAC
Molecule: ribosomal RNA, 406 nt
Filed under: uncultured bacterium
Lineage: Bacteria
Description: partial 16S ribosomal RNA
Rfam family: Bacterial small subunit ribosomal RNA
Source: RNAcentral